UCGAACGGGAUCCAUCCUUCGGGAUGGUGAGAGUGGCGGACGGGUGAGUAACGCGUGGGAACCUGCCCAGUGGUGGGGGAUAACUGCGGGAAACUGCAGCUAAUACCGCAUGAGCCCGAGAGGGGAAAGAUUUAUCGCCAUUGGAGGGGCCCGCGUUCGAUUAGGUAGUUGGUGAGGUAAUGGCUCACCAAGCCGACGAUCGAUAGCUGGUCUGAGAGGAUGAUCAGCCACACUGGGACUGAGAUACGGCCCAGACUCCUACGGGAGGCAGCAGUGGGGAAUAUUGGACAAUGGGGGCAACCCUGAUCCAGCAAUGCCGCGUGAGUGAUGAAGGCCUUCGGGUUGUAAAGCUCUUUUGCCAGGGACGAUGAUGACAGUACCUGGAGAAUAAGCCCCGGCUAACUUCGUGCCAGCAGCCGCGGUAAUACGAAGGGGGCAAGCAUUG
RNAcentral lists this ribosomal RNA (445 nucleotides) under uncultured bacterium. Its description in RNAcentral is "bacterial SSU rRNA". It matches the Rfam family "Bacterial small subunit ribosomal RNA", at positions 62 to 543 of the family's 1533-position model. The record is from RNAcentral.